UCCCCGGUGGCUUAGAUGGUAAAGAGUCUGCCUGCAAUGCAGGAGACCCGGGUUCAAUUCCCGGGUCAGGAA
Non-coding RNA from Bos taurus (domestic cattle), 72 nucleotides. Lineage: Eukaryota; Metazoa; Chordata; Mammalia; Artiodactyla; Bovidae. The record is from Rfam.